GAGGAAAAGAAACUAACAAGGAUUCCCUUAGUAGCGGCGAGCGAAGCGGGAAAAGCCCAAAAUGAAAAGCCUGCUUGCAGGCGUUGUAUUUUGAUCGUUCUUGGGGUGUCAGUGCGGGUAAGUCGUAUGGAAAUACGUACCGUGGAGGGUGAGAGUCCCGUCCAGCCUGCACAGGACACUUCGUACUAGAACGUUUCAGUUGAGUCGGGUAGCUUGGGAAUGCUGCUCUAAUAUUGGUGGUAAAUCUCAUCAAAGGCUAAAUAUUGACCAGAGACCGAUAGUGAACAAGUACCGUGAGGGAAAGAUCAAAAGCACUUUGAAAAGAGGGUGAAAAGAACCUGAAACCGUUAUGGGGGAAGCGUAUUGCGUUGAAUUAUCUAGUUGCUGUGUUUUCAGCCAUGUUCUGACUUGGUGCAUUGAUACAGUGACUGACCGGCCGUGAGUUUGGAAUGGUCGAUUUUGGACCAUUCUGGGCUGAGGGAUCCCUUUUAUAGGUGAGGACGGUGGGCUGCAACGCGAUUCGACCCGUCUUGAAACACGGACCAAGGAGUCUAGCACAGUUGCGAGUCAAAGGGUGCAAGCCUGAGGGCGUAGUGAAAGCGAGUAUGAAAACGAGCAGUUUGAGGCGGCAUGAGAUUGUUAAUCUCAAGUCUGACCUAGAGCAUUUGUGCUGGGACCCGAAAGAUGGUGAACUAUGCCGGAAUAGGGCGAAGCCAGAGGAAACUCUGGUGGAGGCUCGUAGUGGUGCUGACGUGCAAAUCGCUCACCGAAUUUUGGUAUAGGGGCGAAAGACUAAUCGAACCAUCUAGUAGCUGGUUCCCUCCGAAGUUUCUCUCAGGAUAGCGGGCCGACAUAAGUUGUUUUGUGCGGUAGAGCGAAUGAUUAGCGCACUCAGGGACAGAAUGUCUUUGGGCGAUUCUCAAACUUUUAAUGCGCAAGGGUACCGGUGCUUGAUUGACCGGUGCCGCUAAAAACGUCGGCCCUGUGGGCCACUUUUGGUAAGCAGAACUGGCGAUACGGGAUGAACCGUAAGUGUGGUUAAGGCGCCAAACUCUUCGCUUAUAGAACCCAAAAAAGGUGUUGAUUCAUCGAGACAGCAGGACGGUGGCCAUGGAAGUCGGAAUCCGCUAAGGAGUGUGUAACAACUCACCUGCCGAAUGAAUUAGCCCUGAAAAUGGAUGGCGCUUAAGCGGGAGGCCGACACCACACCGUCUGGUAAAGAUUUAUGAUCAGAUGAGUAGGAGGGCGUGGUGGUUGUAUCGAAGCAUGUGUGCAAACCCAUGUGGAACGGCCACUAGUGCAGAUCUUGGUGGUAGUAGCAAGUAUUCAAGCGAGAUCCUUGAAGGGCAAAGCGGGGAAGGGUUCCAUGCGAACAUUGAUUGGGCAUGGGUGAGUCGUACCUAAAUCGAGUGGCGAUUGCUAAGUACCGAUGAAAGGGAAGCAGGUUGACAUUCCUGCACACGGAUGUGGAGGCGGUGACGCACAUUGAGGUGAAGACGUUGGCGAUGGCGCUGGGCAGAGUUGUCUUUUCUGUUUAACCUGUUCCGAUGCUGUGUGGAAUCCGCUUGUCGGGAGAAACACGCAUUUGUGGUAAGAGCGCCGGGGCUUUUCCGGCGUCCAGCUCGCUAUCGACGGCCCUUGAAAAUUUACCUAAUGAUUAAAUCCACGCCGUGGCGUACCGAUUACCGCAUCAGGUCCCCAAGGUGAACAGCCUCUGCUCAAUAUGAACAAUGUAGGUAAGGGAAGUCGGCAAAUUAGACCCGUAACUUUGGGAUAAGGGUUGGCUCUAGUGCUGUGUGGGAGUGGUUGCCCAGUUGUUGGGGUGACCAGCGAAAGUGAAUUUUUCUUUGAGUUUCUUCGGGAAUUCGUUGAUCAUGACAUUGAGCAGGUUAUUCCACAUUGGGCGACGCCCACAGCAUGCAGCAAACUAGAACUGCAACGGGCAAAGGGAAUCCGACUGUUUAAUUAAAACAAAGCAUUGCGAGGGCCGAGGACGGUGAUGACGCAAUGUGAUUUCUGCUCAGUGCUCUGAAUGUCAAAGUGAAGAGAUUCAAUCAAGCGCGGGUAAACAGCGGGAGUAACUAUGACUCUCUUAAGGUAGCCAAAUGCCUCGUCAUCUAAUUAGUGACGCGCAUGAAUGGAUUAACGAGAUUCCUACUGUCCCUAUCUACUUCUAGCGAAACCACAGCCGGGGGAACGGGCCCGGCAGAAUCGGCGGGGAAAGAAGACCCUGUUGAGCUUGACUCUAUUCUAAUUUUGUGAAGCAAGUUGGGAGGUGUAGCAUAGGAGGGAGAGCCGCAAGGUUCGUCCGUGAAAUACCUCUACUCCCAGUCUUGCUUUACUUACUGGGUUGGUGUGGGUAAGCUUUACGGCUGUGUUUUUGAGUCAAUGUUCAAUUUAUAUUGGGCAGACUACAGCCCAGUACACAUUUAGGAGGGGAGUUUGGCUGGGGCGGCACAUCUUCUACAAGACAACGAAGGUGUCCAAAGAUGAGCUCAGAGAGAACAGAAAUCUCUCGUAGAGGAAAAGGCUAAAAGCUCGUUUGAUUUUGAUUUUCAGUGCGAGUCAAAAACGGGAAACCGUGGCCUAUCGAUCCUUUCAUAAUUCGAGAUUUGAAGCGAGAGGUGUCAGAAAAGUUACCACAGGGAUAACUGGCUUGUGGCGGCCAAGCGUUCAUAGCGACGUCGCUUUUUGAUCCU
This 2699-nucleotide ribosomal RNA is filed under the name Verlaquea lacerata. RNAcentral's name for it is "eukaryotic LSU rRNA". It matches the Rfam family "Eukaryotic large subunit ribosomal RNA", at positions 53 to 2877 of the family's 3401-position model. Lineage: Eukaryota; Rhodophyta; Florideophyceae; Gigartinales; Kallymeniaceae. The record is from RNAcentral.